UAAUAAGUGUUUUAUGGCACUUUUAAAUCCAUAUCCACCUUGUGUGCAAUGUUAUCUCACUGUUGCUUUCUUCUUCGGAAGAGAGUGCUUUGGGAUUAUAUAUCUACUCAAUUUUUAAUCACUUUGUCUGAACUAUUAUGAAUACUUAAUUCAAAAUA
This 158-nucleotide unclassified non-coding RNA is filed under the name uncultured Mortierellales. Its description in RNAcentral is "sequence contains ITS1". Lineage: Eukaryota; Fungi; Mortierellomycota; Mortierellomycetes; Mortierellales. The record is from RNAcentral.